RNAcentral lists this non-coding RNA (45 nucleotides) under Schistosoma margrebowiei. Lineage: Eukaryota; Metazoa; Platyhelminthes; Trematoda; Strigeidida; Schistosomatidae. The record is from RNAcentral.
AUCUAGCUGAUGAGUCCCAAAUAGGACAAAUUGCGCGUCGUAGAU